AUUGAACGCUGGCGGCAUGCCUUACACAUGCAAGUCGAACGGCAGCACGGGAGCAAUCCUGGUGGCGAGUGGCGAACGGGUGAGUAAUAUAUCGGAACGUGCCCAGUCGUGGGGGAUAACGCAGCGAAAGCUGUGCUAAUACCGCAUACGAUCUACGGAUGAAAGCGGGGGAUCGCAAGACCUCGCGCGAUUGGAGCGGCCGAUAUCGAAUUAGCUAGUUGGUGGGGUAAAGGCCCACAAAGGCGACGGUCUGUAGCUGGUCUGAGAGGACGACCAGCCACACUGGAACUGGGACACGGUCCAGACUCCUACGGGAGGCAGCAGUGGGGAAUUUUGGACAAUGGGCGAAAGCCUGAUCCAGCAAUGCCGCGUGCAGGACGAAGGCCUUCGGGUUGUAAACUGCUUUUGUACGGAACGAAACGGUCUCUUCUAAUAAAGGGGGCUAAUGACGGUACCGUAAGAAUAAGCACCGGCUAACUACGUGCCAGCAGCCGCCGUAA
RNAcentral lists this ribosomal RNA (500 nucleotides) under uncultured bacterium. RNAcentral's name for it is "partial 16S ribosomal RNA". It matches the Rfam family "Bacterial small subunit ribosomal RNA", at positions 30 to 523 of the family's 1533-position model. The record is from RNAcentral.